RNAcentral lists this long non-coding RNA (1133 nucleotides) under Cyanistes caeruleus (blue tit). RNAcentral describes it as "lncRNA (ENSCCEG00000009935.1)". Lineage: Eukaryota; Metazoa; Chordata; Aves; Passeriformes; Paridae. The record is from RNAcentral.
CGGAAGGCCCUCAUUGAAAAUCACCCUUCCUUUCCUACGCUUUAACCUUGGCAAUUGCUGCUUAGUCCUCGCUUUUGCUCAACACCAGAUCCUUGCCUUUUCUGAAAUUUUGUGACAGUUCAUUGUUGAAAUAUCAAGCUUUCUCAUAUUCAGUGCUGAUCUCUCACUGAAGUCCUCCAGAAAUCCUGCUAUUCAGUCAUGAAAGCAAGGCUUUCUACGAACCAUUUUAAACUGAUUUUCACUGCUGAGUAGUUAUCAGUUUUGCUUCACUCAGUACACUGGAGGCCGCUGUGGAUGUCUUGCUGCUGCUUCAGAGUACUGGCAAGCAGAUUAAAGGAGAUGCAAAAGCAACAGGAGCCGGUGCAAGGCUGGUGGAUUCUUCUGAUUGAGAUUAAAUAACUGGGUGGUUUCACACCCCAAAAGACCAAAGUGCAACACAGAAAUGCCCCCAAUACUACACUAAAUGGAAUGCAGCAAAUAAUUUGCCCAGCAUCUGAGAAGCUGUCAGCAGCACCAACAUACCCUUCAGAACAGCAGCAUAGAUUAUUUCCACUCCCAAUAGGUGUUCUGUUGGAAAAAGCAAGGUUCCAAGAAGGAUUUACAGAGGAGAAGGGAUGAAGAAGGAGCAGAUGAGAGAUACUAGUAGAGUUGAGUGUGACAGGAAAGAACUUUACAAUCCUCCCAUUCAUCCCAACUACUUCCAGAGAUGUGAACUAUCUUCAGAGAAUGAAAUGCCAUCUCAAGAUAAAUCAUGUGGUUACUUACUAAUGCUGCUCUAUCAGAGCAUCCAAGUCAGUGCUAAGCAAUCUAGCAAGUGGAGGAAAGGGUGAGUCAUUAUUAAAUUUAUGAGAAGCUGCUUCAUAAAUCCUAUAUAAUCACUUUUUCUGAGUUGACUUGGGAAAAUCCUUUAAAGCUGCCUCAUUCUAUUUGGCAUCCACAGUAGCUCAGUGUGAUAGAAAAGAUUUACUUUUCCCCAGACAACUUCCCAGAGCCCUUGCUUUUCAGCUGACAUCGAGGAAAGAGCCUGUAGCAGUGCAUUUCAAUUUAGAGUCAGAUUUAAAGUCUUCGAAGGCACCUGAAUUUAAGCAAAGAUUAGGCACAUAAAACCAAAAUUACAACUCGAACCCCCUCUG